CAAGGAUUUAUUAUUAAAGAUGAACAUUUAGUGCUGUUUUUUAUAAUAAUUCAUGAGUGCUGUUGAGAAGAGCUGCUGUUGAGUCUGAUAUCAGUGUGUGAGUCUCUUCUCUCUUUCUCUGCUGGAGUUUGUGUUUAUUUGAGUGUGACGGAGGUUUUUGUUCGACGCUUUCACUAGAAUGAAGCACUGUGGUACACUUUUGGUGGAGGAACUAAACUGACCAUCGCUGGUCCCGCAGUGAAGCCCUCCGUGUCUCUGCUGCCUCCCUCUUCUCUGCAGAUCUCUGGAGACUCAGCCGCACUGCUCUGUCUGCUCAGCUCUUACUCUCCACAGGGGGCGCAGGUGAGCUGGACGCUGGACGGGUCAGAGGUCACCGAGGGGGUUCAGACCAGCGCAGAGAGCGAGCGGGACGGACGCUACAGCCGCAGCAGCGUCCUGAGCCUCAGCAAAGCACGCUGGGAAGCCGGCGAGCGCUUCGUCUGCAGAGUAACACAUGACGGAGCUGAUCACGAGACCUCGUUCCUCAAGAGCUCCGAGUGCUGAUGUUUCUCCAGUGAAGAGCAGCAGGAUUCACAGCAGUCUCCUGAUUUACAGCUCAAUACUCAAGCAGUCUUUCAAUGUGCUGCCAUUGCUGUUCAUUCAAUAAAGCUUCUGAACGCCUUA
This is a long non-coding RNA of Carassius carassius (crucian carp), 663 nucleotides long. RefSeq lists it as uncharacterized. The transcript is spliced from 2 exons. NCBI's taxonomy places the organism in Eukaryota, Metazoa, Chordata, Actinopteri, Cypriniformes, Cyprinidae. The record is from RefSeq and is a predicted model, not a curated record.